GAUGAACGCUGGCGGCGUGCCUAACACAUGCAAGUCGAACGAAGCAAUUAAGAGGAAGUUUUCGGAUGGAAUCUUGAUUGACUGAGUGGCGGACGGGUGAGUAACGCGUGGAUAACCUGCCUCACACUGGGGAUAACAGUUAGAAAUGACUGUUAAUACCGCAUAAGCGCACGCUACCGCAUGGUAGAGUGUGAAAAACUCCGGUGGUGUGAGAUGGAUCCGCGUCUGAUUAGCCAGUUGGCGGGGUAACGGCCACCAAAGCGACGAUCAGUAGCCGACCUGAGAGGUGACGGCACAUUGGGACUGAGACACGGCCCAAACUCCUACGGGAGGCAGCAGUGGGGAAUAUUGCACAAAUGGGCGAAAGCCUGAUGCAGCGACGCCGCGUGAAGUGAAGAAGUAUUUCGGUAUGUAAAGCUACUAUCAGCAGAGAAGAAAAUGACGGUACCUGAACUAAGAAGCCCCGG
RNAcentral lists this ribosomal RNA (467 nucleotides) under uncultured bacterium. RNAcentral's name for it is "bacterial SSU rRNA". It matches the Rfam family "Bacterial small subunit ribosomal RNA", at positions 28 to 496 of the family's 1533-position model. The record is from RNAcentral.